AAUCAACGCUGGCGGCGUGCCUCAGACAUGCAAGUCGAACGCGAAAGUCUCCUUCGGGGGAUAAGUAGAGUGGCGCACGGGUGAGUAACACGUAGGUAAUCUACCUUUGGAUGGGGAAUAACAACCGGAAACGGUUGCUAAUACCGCAUAAUGCAGCGGCACCUAAUGGUGACAGUUGUUAAAGCGGGGGAUCGUAAGACCUCGCGUCUGAAGAGGAGCCUGCGGCGGAUUAGCUAGUUGGUAAGGUAAUGGCUUACCAAGGCUACGAUCCGUAACCGGCCUGAGAGGGCGGUCGGUCACACUGACACUGACAUACGGGUCAGACUCCUACGGAGGCAGCAGUCGGGAAUUUUGGGCAAUGGGCGAAAGCCUGACCCAGCAACGCCGCGUGAAGGAUGAAAUCCCUCGGGAUGUAAACUUCGCAAGAACGGGAAGAAUAAGCGAGAGUUAAUAUCUUUCGUGAUGACGGUACCGUUUGUAAGCUCCGGCUAACUCCGUGCCAGCAGCCGCGGUAAU
This 516-nucleotide ribosomal RNA is filed under the name uncultured bacterium. Its description in RNAcentral is "bacterial SSU rRNA". It matches the Rfam family "Bacterial small subunit ribosomal RNA", at positions 32 to 524 of the family's 1533-position model. The record is from RNAcentral.